UCAUUUUGUGUAUAAAUACCGCCCUCGUUCUUCGUCACAUCCUCUUUCCAUUGCUCUUCUCGCGCUGAGAACCUUCUCCUCACGAUGAGAGCCAAGUGGAGGAAGAAGCGUAUGCGCAGACUGAAGCGUAAAAGGAGAAAGAUGAGGCAGAGGUCGAAGUAGGCCCUCUUCUUCUUCAGCUGUAUUCCCAUCGGAGCCUCCCCUGAUGACUGAAGCGUGCGGCUGAAGUGAAGCCUCCAUCAGUGGAUCGAAGGCCUACACCUGAUUUCUGCUGACUGUGCGCCUCAUGGAUCCGGCUGUGAACGUCGGACUGGACGAGGCUAAGAUGCUGGACAACCUCCCGACAUCAGAAUUGCAGCUGCGUUGUUAAUGGACCAGAAUACAACUGUCAUGUGGUGUAUUUAACAAUAAAUGGAACACUUUUAAAAAUUGA
This is a long non-coding RNA of Trematomus bernacchii (emerald rockcod), 433 nucleotides long. RefSeq lists it as uncharacterized. Lineage: Eukaryota; Metazoa; Chordata; Actinopteri; Perciformes; Nototheniidae. The record is from RefSeq and is a predicted model, not a curated record. The transcript is spliced from 4 exons.